GGAGAGUUGUCCGAGUUGGUCUAAGGAGCACGACUGGAAAUCGUGUAAGCCGCAAGGCUUCGAGGGUUCGAAUCCCUUGCUCUCCGCCA
This 89-nucleotide transfer RNA is filed under the name Clostridiales bacterium. Its description in RNAcentral is "tRNA-Ser". It matches the Rfam family "tRNA". Rfam says of the family: Transfer RNA (tRNA) molecules are approximately 80 nucleotides in length. Lineage: Bacteria; Bacillati; Bacillota; Clostridia; Eubacteriales. The record is from RNAcentral.